UAAUACGUAGGGUGCGAGCGUUAAUCGGAAUUACUGGGCGUAAAGCGUGCGCAGGCGGUAUCGCAAGUCAGGCGUGAAAUCCCCGAGCUCAACUUGGGAAUUGCGCUUGAAACUAUGAUGCUGGAGUGUGGCAGAGGGAGGUGGAAUUCCACGUGUAGCGGUGAAAUGCGUAGAGAUGUGGAGGAACACCGAUGGCGAAGGCAGCCUCCUGGGCCAACACUGACGCUCAUGCACGAAAGCGUGGGGAGCAAACAGGAUUAGAUACCCUGGUAGUCCACGCCCUAAACGAUGACGACUAGUUGUUGGGGGAGUUAAAUCCCUCAGUAACGCAGCUAACGCGUGAAGUCGUCCGCCUGGGGAGUACGGUCGCAAGAUUAAAACUUAAAUGAAUUGACGG
This 397-nucleotide ribosomal RNA is filed under the name uncultured bacterium. Its description in RNAcentral is "bacterial SSU rRNA". It matches the Rfam family "Bacterial small subunit ribosomal RNA", at positions 521 to 916 of the family's 1533-position model. The record is from RNAcentral.